This 719-nucleotide ribosomal RNA is filed under the name Priestia megaterium. RNAcentral describes it as "bacterial SSU rRNA". It matches the Rfam family "Bacterial small subunit ribosomal RNA", at positions 765 to 1472 of the family's 1533-position model. Lineage: Bacteria; Bacillati; Bacillota; Bacilli; Caryophanales; Bacillaceae. The record is from RNAcentral.
AUACAACAUUAACAGGAUUUAGAUACCCUGGUAGUCCACGCCGUAAACGAUGAGUGCUAAGUGUUAGAGGGUUUCCGCCCUUUAGUGCUGCAGCUAACGCCAUUAAGCACUCCGCCUGGGGAGUACGGUCGCAAGACUGAAACUCAAAGGAAUUGACGGGGGCCCGCACAAGCGGUGGAGCAUGUGGUUUAAUUCGAAGCAACGCGAAGAACCUUACCAGGUCUUUGACAUCCUCUGACAACUCUAGAGAUAGAGCGUUCCCCUUCGGGGGACAGAGUGACAGGUGGUGCAUGGUUGUCGUCAGCUCGUGUCGUGAGAUGUUGGGUUAAGUCCCGCAACGAGCGCAACCCUUGAUCUUAGUUGCCAGCAUUUAGUUGGGCACUCUAAGGUGACUGCCGGUGACAAACCGGAGGAAGGUGGGGAUGACGUCAAAUCAUCAUGCCCCUUAUGACCUGGGCUACACACGUGCUACAAAUGGAUGGUACAAAGGGCUGCAAGACCGCGAGGUCAAGCCAAUCCCAUAAAACCAUUCUCAGUUCGGAUUGUAGGCUGCAACUCGCCUACAUGAAGCUGGAAUCGCUAGUAAUCGCGGAUCCAGCAUGCCGCGGUGAAUACGUUCCCGGGCCUUGUACACACCGCCCGUCACACCACGAGAGUUUGUAACACCCGAAGUCGGUGGAGUAACCGUAAGGAGCUAGCCGCCUAAAGGUGACAGAAGG